Molecule: ribosomal RNA, 279 nt
Filed under: uncultured bacterium
Lineage: Bacteria
Description: partial 16S ribosomal RNA
Rfam family: Bacterial small subunit ribosomal RNA
Source: RNAcentral
UGCCAGCCGCCGCGGUAAUACGAAGGGACCUAGCGUAGUUCGGAAUCACUGGGCGUAAAGCGUAUGUAGGCGGAUCAAAAAGUUAGAUGUGAAAUCCCUGGGCUCAACCCAGGAACUGCAUUUAAAACUGUUAGUCUUGAGAUCGAGAGAGGUGAGUGGAAUUCCAAGUGUAGAGGUGAAAUUCGUAGAUAUUUGGAGGAACACCAGUGGCGAAGGCGGCUCACUGGCUCGAUACUGACGCUGAGGUACGAAAGUGUGGGGAGCAAACAGGAUUAGAUA